This is a non-coding RNA of Bos taurus (domestic cattle), 72 nucleotides long. Lineage: Eukaryota; Metazoa; Chordata; Mammalia; Artiodactyla; Bovidae. The record is from Rfam.
UCCCUUGUGGCUCAGCUGGUAAAGAAUCCGUCUGCAAUGUGGGAGACCUGGGUUCAACCCCUGGCUUGGGAA